AGUAUGUCGUGCGAAUACCCUUGCUGUUGCACACAGAUCCAACAAUGGUACUUGGCGACUCAUACCGGACUGCUCUAAGAAGAUUAUGUUAUCUCCAGCCCCGUCUAAAUGCCGAUGUGAUUUUAAAGAAGUUUUAUUCGGAAACCAUAAAUGAUUACUUUGAAUUGGACCAGAUGAGACGUGUUGGAGCACAGCCUGGCACAAAGAACAAUAACCAUGCUUCCGGGGAAAUCGAGCACUGCUACCUGAACGCGCUGAAUGACUUAAUGGCGACCGGACCAAAGUUGUAUGUGGGUUUACCAGGAGUACUGAUAAGUUGGCAAGCUUUAAAGUAUGUGUUCGUGGCUGACGUUGAAAAAAUGUAUCGCUGCAUCAACUUAAAUGAAAAAGAUGCACAAUGUCACCGGGUACUGAGGAAACCGGAAGGUAGCGUUAAUAUAGAGAAAUAUAUUUGCUCAGGUGUAAUGUUUGGUACGAGCGCAGCAACAACUGGCCCCAAAUGAAGCGGACCAUUUUCCGUUGCUUAAGGAUGAAUGAAUGCGAAUGAAAAUGUUAGUAGAUGAUAUUUUGUCAGGUGCAAACAGCAAGUCAAAUUAUUGAAAUGUUGCAUCUGGGAUCUAGUUGUAAUACGUAAUACGUAAUACGUAAUACGUAAUACGUAAUACGUAAUACGUAAUUGGGCGAGUAACAGCCCGCAGCUGUUAAAGAAGAUGCCCAUCAAGCACCGUGAAGCAAAAGGAUUGCUGCAGUUUCAGUCGGAGGAGGCCAUACGUACACUUUGUCUAUAUUGCAGCCCGUCUGAGGAUGAGUUCCGAUUUCAUGUGAAUUUCGAAAUUUAGACCUCUACACCUACAAAACGAAUAAUGCUAUCGACCAUUGCGCGUCUGCUUGACCCAAUGGGGUGGCUAAGUUCCAUCAUUAUUAUGGCGAAGGUAACGAUGCAGUAUCUUUGCAGGGAUCGACUGAGUUAGGAUGAUAACGUAUCUCCAGCAGUUGAACAAAAAUGGAAAAGAUUUAUGAGGAAUUUGCCAAAAAUCUCGGAAGUUCGAAUUCCGCGCUAUAUCAACAAUGGAUCAUCGGCUCGGGGUGGAUAUAUAUUUGUACGUAUAUUUUGUGAUGCCUCAGAUAGCGCUUAAGCCGCGGUGGCAUAUUUGCGAGUUCAAACAAGAGACCAUGAGUAUUGCAGUGAAUUUAUUUACUCGAAAACUAAGGUUUCGUUGUAAGUAUUUGAAACACAAUCUAAAUUUGAUGAUAAACUUUAAUGAAACACGAUGAAUUUGGGAACUAAGUAAAGUAAAAAGCGAGACUUGAAGCGCGGGGCUUCACUCAAGAAUAUAUGACUGAUUACGAUGAGACAUUUGCACCAGUUGCACGAAUUUCCAGUUUUCGAUUUUUGUUGGCACUUUCAAAUCAAUACUAUUUAAUGGUUCAUCAUAUGGACGUAAAAACUGCUUUUUUAAACGGAACUCUACUCGAAAACUAAGGUUUCGUUAUUCGAUGAUUACACUCAGCUGGAUACAAGGAGGAUCGUCGAAAUGGAAUCUUUUUGUAUUAAAUCGUAUUAGUAAGAUCCUAGCCGUUUCAGAAGCACGACAAUAGAGACACGUUGCAUCAACAGACAACCCGGCGGAUCUUCUAAGCCGCGGACUUGAUGUGGAAAAAUGAUCAACGUGUGCUUUGUGUUGGCAUGGGCUACAAUGGCGAUGAGAUGAAAGGUAUAAAAAGCUGCGCAAUUUCAACUGGGAGGAGGGUCUGCGCGUCUUAUGUAUUAUGGCAUAUGUAUUACGUUUUGGCAAGAACUGUCGCAGAACGAGAGCCAAACGUAAAACCAAUGAUUCCCUUCAGACGCCAUAGGCAAAACAAGUUAACGAAAACAGCGUGCCUUUAAACUUCAAUCCCUAAUUUGAUGCCCAGAAAAAGUAAUUCGAUUGGGCGGCAGAUUACGUGAUGCAAUGAUGUCUCAAAGGAAAAAUUUUUCUUAUAUCCUUCCGAAUAAACAUGAUUAUAUUACAUUGGUGGUGCAAAAUGCUCAUGCCAGUACUCUUCAUGGUGGCGCCGCGCUCACGUUAGAUUUCAUUCGCAAAAGGUUUUGGAUUAUUGAUGGAAGAAACGCAGUCCGGUCUGUGACACACAAAUGUAUGGUGUGUUUCUGAUUGAGGCCUGGGCUUGCUAAACAACAAUUGGGUAAUUUAUCAGCGUCACAUCAGCAGGAGUUGACUACGCUGGACCCAUAAGUAUCCCUCCUUCGAAACGUCGUACUGCUGUUAAGGGAGGUGUUGCAGUCUUUAUUUAUUUGGAUUCAUUCAUUGGAGCUCUGCAUCGUUAUGCUGGGAGACGAUGACUUUGUCGGGAAUUAUAUUGGAAUUGCGGGACAAACUUUUUCGGUGCAAAUAAAAAAGUGCAGGCUGACCAAUUGGCAUAUCAAAGGUAUAUUGCAAAGUCGAUAAUUCCAAGUCUCGUUGACAAAGGUAUCACAUGCCGUUUCAACCCGUGCACAAUGUCACCGGGUACUGAGGAAACCGGAAGGUAGCGUUAAUAUAGAGAAAUAUAUUUGCUCAGGUGUAAUGUUUGGUACGAGCGCUGCAACAACUGGCCCCAAAUGAAGCGGACCAUUUUCCGUUGCUUAAGGAUGAAUGAAUGCGAAUGAAAAUGUUAGUAGAUGAUAUUUUGUCAGGUGCAAACAGCAAGUCAAAUUAUAGAAAUGUUGCAUCUGGGUACUUUUACACUACGUAAUUGGGCGAGUAACAGCUGUUAAAGAAGAUGCCCAUCAAGCACCGUGAAGCAAAAGGAUUGCUGCAGUUUCAGUCGGAGGAGGCCAUACGUACACUUUGUCUAUAUUGCAGCCCGUCUGAGGAUGAGUUCCGAUUUCAUGUGAAUUUCGAAAUUUAGACCUCUACACCUACAAAACGAAUAAUGCUAUCGACCAUUGCGCGUCUGCUUGACCCAAUGGGGUGGCUAAGUUCCAUCAUUAUUAUGGCGAAGGUAACGAUGCAGUAUCUUUGCAGGGACCGACUGAGUUAGGAUGAUAACGUAUCUCCAGCAGUUGAACAAAAAUGGAAAAGAUUUAUAAGGAAUUUGCCAAAAAUCUCGGAAGUUCGAAUUCCGCGCUAUAUCAACAAUGGAUCAUCGGCUCGGGGUGGAUAUAUAUUUGUACGUAUAUUUUCUGAUGCCUCAGAUAGCGCUUAAGCCGCGGUGGCAUAUUUGCGAGUUCAAACAAGAGACCAUGAGUAUUGCAGUGAAUUUAUUUACUCGAAAACUAAGGUUUCGUUAUUCGAUGAUUACACUCAGCUGGAUACAAGGAGGAUCGUCGAAAUGGAAUCUUUUUGUAUUAAAUCGUAUUAGUAAGAUCCUAGCCGUUUCAGAAGCACGACAAUAGAGACACGUUGCAUCAACAGACAACCCGGCGGAUCUUCUAAGCCGCGGACUUGAUGUGGAAAAAUGAUCAACGUGUGCUUUGUGUUGGCAUGGGCUACAAUGGCGAUGAGAUGAAAGGUAUAAAAAGCUGCGCAAUUUCAACUGGGAGGACGGUCUGCGCGUCUUACGUAUUAUAGC
This is a long non-coding RNA of Drosophila suzukii, 3552 nucleotides long. RefSeq lists it as uncharacterized. The record is from RefSeq and is a predicted model, not a curated record. NCBI's taxonomy places the organism in Eukaryota, Metazoa, Arthropoda, Insecta, Diptera, Drosophilidae.